UACGAAGGGGGGCUAGCGUUGCUCGGAUUUACUGGGCGUAAAGGGCGCGUAGGCGGACAGUUAAGUUGGGGGUGAAAGCCCGGGGCUCAACCUCGGAAUUGCCUUCAAUACUGGCUGUCUUGAGUGCGGGGAGAGGUGUGUGGAACUCCGAGUGUAGAGGUGAAAUUCGUAGAUAUUCGGAAGAACACCAGUGGCGAAGGCGACACACUGGCCCGUUACUGACGCUGAGGCGCGAAAGCGUGGGGAGCAAACAGG
RNAcentral lists this ribosomal RNA (255 nucleotides) under uncultured bacterium. Its description in RNAcentral is "partial 16S ribosomal RNA". It matches the Rfam family "Bacterial small subunit ribosomal RNA", at positions 524 to 776 of the family's 1533-position model. The record is from RNAcentral.